Molecule: ribosomal RNA, 390 nt
Filed under: uncultured bacterium
Lineage: Bacteria
Description: bacterial SSU rRNA
Rfam family: Bacterial small subunit ribosomal RNA
Source: RNAcentral
CGGGUUGUAAAGCACUUUCAGUCGUGAGGAAGGUAGUGUAGUUAAUAGCUGCAUUAUUUGACGUUAGCGACAGAAGAAAGCACCGGCUAACUCCGUGCCAGCAGCCGCGGUAAUACGGAGGGUGCGAGCGUUAAUCGGAAUUACUGGGCGUAAAGCGCAUGCAGGUGGUUUGUUAAGUCAGAUGUGAAAGACCCGGGGCGUCAACCUCGGAAUUGCAUUUGUAAACUAGGCAGACUAGAGUACUGUAGAGGGGGGUAGGAAUUUCAGGUGUAGCGGUGAAAAUGCGUAGAGAUCUGAGGGAAUACCGGUGGCGAAGGCGGCCCCCUCGGACAGAUACUGACACUCAGAUGCGAAAGCGUGGGGAGCAAACAGGAUUAGAUACCCUGGUAG